This 241-nucleotide ribosomal RNA is filed under the name uncultured bacterium. Its description in RNAcentral is "partial 16S ribosomal RNA". It matches the Rfam family "Bacterial small subunit ribosomal RNA", at positions 796 to 1041 of the family's 1533-position model. The record is from RNAcentral.
CGCACUGUAAACGAUGAUUACUCGCUGCUGGGAGGUAACUUUCAGUGGCUUAGCGAAAGCGAUAAGUAAUCCACCUGGGGAGUACGCCGGCAACGGUGAAACUCAAAGGAAUUGACGGGGGCCCGCACAAGCGGAGGAGCAUGUGGUUUAAUUCGAUGAUACGCGAGGAACCUUACCAGGGCUUGAAAGUUAGUGACCGCUCCUGAAAGGGAGCUUUCCGCAAGGACACGAAACUAGGUGC